GGGUACUCGAGUGGCGAACGGGUGAGUAACACGUGGGUGAUCUGCCCUGCACUUCGGGAUAAGCCUGGGAAACUGGGUCUAAUACUGGAUAGGACCACUUCUUGGAUGUUGUGGUGGAAAGUUUUUUCGGUGUGGGAUGAGCUCGCGGCCUAUCAGCUUGUUGGUGGGGUAAUGGCCUACCAAGGCGUCGACGGGUAGCCGGCCUGAGAGGGUGUACGGCCACAUUGGGACUGAGAUACGGCCCAGACUCC
This 251-nucleotide ribosomal RNA is filed under the name uncultured Corynebacterium sp. Its description in RNAcentral is "partial 16S ribosomal RNA". It matches the Rfam family "Bacterial small subunit ribosomal RNA", at positions 85 to 339 of the family's 1533-position model. Lineage: Bacteria; Bacillati; Actinomycetota; Actinomycetes; Mycobacteriales; Corynebacteriaceae. The record is from RNAcentral.